GAGCCACGCCCAUUGGUCACCGCCCCGCACAAACCCUACCCUUUCCAGCGCUCCCAAAUUGAUGCAGCCGCCUCCCCUCUCCCUCCCUUCCUUCCCAAACGCGCCGGCCGCCUCCUCUCCACCUGCCGCCUCCCCUCUCCCUCCCUUCCUCCCCAAACGCGCCGGCCGCCUCCUCUCCACCUGCCAUACCGCGUCCCUGCUGGCGGUGGGAGGAUAUCCGGGGGAGCAGAGGAGGGGGUUGGAUGAGGGGUUAGGAGGUGCGAGGCGAGCAGGAGGUGGGGUUGCCGGAGGAGCACAGCCGCCAGAGCAGAGCAGAGGAGUUCGAUGCAGGGGCACAAUGGGAUUGUCGGAGAGCGCGCGGUAUCCUGCGAUACAUAUCCGCUCCCAAGCAAAGGAUGCAUCAGCGCUCGCUCCUCCUCUCCCCGACGCCACCGCUUUCCUGCGUCGUUGCUGUCGCCACGGCCUUGCUUGCCAUCGACCUCCCGGAGUGCUUCUCUCCACUGCAUUCCCCUUUGCACGAGUUCUUGCCUUCAAAGCUAAGAUGAAAUGGCUCUUCUCAUAUUUGCCUAUAAACUGUUUGAUGAAAUGCUUGUGUCGUAACGAGUUCUUUUUCUUCAGUUUGUUCUUCCUGCUGCUAAGUAUUAGUCCUCUUAUUGAUCUUGCCUGAUUUUCUCGUCGGUCUUGCAUUUGAAGCUCAGGGGUUGUGACUCUAUGAGGAUGUUGUUUAGUGUGAACUGCAACUUUUUUUGGUUGGUGGAGUUCCUCGAGCAUUGCUUAACUUGAAUGAUAAACUACUGAGCAAGUUGGCCUGAGAGCAGCGAGGUUACAGCUCCAGAUGGUUCUUGGUUGCAAUGGGGGGAGAUGCAGGGGAGGGUGAGGAGGCUAACGACAGGGUGAAGUAGCCCGGCGACGAGUGCAAGCAGCAUGAGGCAUUGUAUGGGAUUGAUCUAUCAUGCUGGGAUUAGUUGUAGACUUCCUUGCUGAACCAUACAGGGAGCAAUGCAUCCCCAGUUUGCUUCCAGAGAAGGAAGGGGAAGAGUUGAACCUGCUUGUUCUUCAUUGAUUCCUAAAUAAAUAUCUAAUCUGUAAUAUAUUUUUAUAUCUAUGCUCAGUUACAAUUACAACAUGGGGCUUCAAGUGUCUAUUACUGUGGAUCACCAAUAUUUUGUUAUAUCCGUGCAUUUUAGUUACGACUAAGUGCCACACCAAUGAAUGUGAAUGUCUGUUCAGGGUUUUCUUGUUGCUGCUAUUCCUCGUGGAUAUUCAAGAGGCAACUUGGCACCUAAUGUCAGCAACGUGCUUAUCGGUGACGAGGGAAAUGAAAGAAGGCUGCAAUGGAAUUUGUACUAGAUCAGAUUUUGGCCAUGUAGUUUCCGGUGACUGGAAGUCUAAAACUGAGGAUAGGACAGAUUGUUUUGAUUCCGAUUACUUGGAGAUCUUGUGGCUUGCUGUCCCUGGAUCAGUCAGACCUACGGCAGCAUCAACUCGUUGAUCCUAGAGGCCAUGGUUCUCGAGGUGAGUUGAGUUGCUACUUGGUUGGAGAUGUUGAUGUCGUUCGAGACGCCCGCUGGAUUCACCCUUUUCAAGGUUCUGAAUAAGGGCAAGCUCGACAAGGUCGAGUGGUACAGGUAUGAUCUUCAUGGAGCUAGCCAUCAUUGGAUUUGGUAAUACAUAAUCACUUAUUCAGAGAGCCCAAGGUGAGAAGGGAAGAGCAUCUAGAACACCACCACCUACUAAUCAGAGUUUCCUACCUUUCUUCUGCAAAUCUGGAAUGCCUUUAUGGCAUGAUCAUGUGAAAAAGUACCUUGAUGCAGUAAUGGAUUUGAUUAUCACUGGUUACUCUGUUUUCACGAAUUACUAUCCAACCGUAAGUCUGUUCUAUACCCUAAGGCCCAUGUAAAUCUGAUAGAAGAUUAAGCUAUUUAAUUUUAACUAAAAAGGAUAAUAUUCUUUCAGUCGCUUGAAUCUGUCCAGACCUGAAAAAUACUUAUACUUUGGAAGCUUGAUAUAUGAGUAUGUAAUUUUACAGAGCAUGGAAGAACCAAAAGGUAGUUGAUCAGCAGGAUGGCAAGAGGAAGACAAGAACCAAAUUAAAGUUUGUUGAUGUGCAUGUCUGUAUCUAUCAAGAUUCAGUGCUAUGUAGAAAUGUCCCUGAGAUUUGUUUCACUCAACGAGACCAAACAAUCAGGAACACAAGUAGGAUAGUUGAUGCUUUUUUCAUUUUUCUUCUGAUAAAAAGGAAUCUUCAUCUGCCAAGAAUACCGCCUACAAGCAUGUAUGCCUAAUUACCUAUAUGCUGAUUUAACAAGCUCACAUACAUGUCCAUUUUUGAAAAUAGUUUACCAUCCUCAAACAUAUAACUUGUGUGUUGUUGCUUUCCAUUAUAUUGAGAAAAACAUAAGUUUCAUUGGACCUUUUAUUCA
This is a long non-coding RNA of Triticum aestivum (bread wheat), 2423 nucleotides long. RefSeq lists it as uncharacterized. Lineage: Eukaryota; Viridiplantae; Streptophyta; Magnoliopsida; Poales; Poaceae. The record is from RefSeq and is a predicted model, not a curated record. The transcript has 9 exons.